AAGAUGCAUUAUCAUGGCUGUAAACACAGGUUCUGCACGUGUCUAAGUUCAGCCCCAAACCCACAUGAAGAACUUAUUUCCAGACAGCUCCUACUCUUAUGGUGGCUCCAGACCCUGCCCCAUGCAGAAGGCACUUCUCAAGUUCCAGGACCAGGGCUUCAGCCACAGCACUCGCAAAACCCCACAGAUACAGUGCCAAUGACAGAAAUUAAGAUUAACUGGGGGCGACACAGAUUUCUGUGAAUGCCAGUGCUGUCAGAUGCUUCCUGAUAGUACUUUCUAGAGUAAAAGAACUUCGGGAAAAGUAAAAGCAGCAAAUGGUAACACCCUCAUGGAGAUCUCAGGGUGUAGAGGCAAGCACUGAAGGCCCAUGAUCAGCCGUGGGAGCCACGGGAAUCAAUUGCUUCCAGUACGACUGGAUGCAUCGGAAAGAGCCUGGGGCAAGGCUGGAGGCCACAAGAGGAGCUGCCAGGCCACAUAAGCAGGGAACAAAGCCGAUGAUCACACGCCCAUCAGUGAGCCAACUUGGUGAAGGGAAAUGCCCAAGUUCUCAGCACCUGCAGAGCCUAAGACAUAACAAGCAGCAUGCCCUGACGCUCACCAAGGCCAGGUGCUGUGGUGAGUGCUCUACCUGUUUCUGUACAGAAGAGAAAUCAGAAUGCCAGAGACAUGAAGAAACUUCUCCAGGGUCAUGUAAUCACCAAAUAAUGUCUGCUUCGACCAUCUCUGCAUUUUGUGCUACACCAAGAUUUAAGCAGCUGUUCAAAGGAACUGUAGAACAGAUGUCACAGAUGUAACUAUUCUUGAAAGGAAGUCAGAUUUCAUAGAUGGAAAGACUGCCCUUUUCCAUUUGCCUCCUCCAGACCCAUAACUUUGGAUAGGGGGGUUUUAUUGUCCGUGAGGCUUAUGCAUAUGUCAGAAGAAUGUCCAAGCAGAGGAAUCUAAGUGGCAGACCCCCCAGGAUAGGAAAGAAGAAGGACGCUCGUGCUGACACUUCCAGAACACUCUUCACGUUUUGUGACAUAUGUGCUUGUCGAGUGAUCUUAAGACAGCUGGAUGUCCGAACCAUGCAGUAAUAGCAGAGAACCUGCGGAAGGAGAAGCUUCCCAGGACGUUCUGAGGGCUUAUGCCGGGUGCAGGCUUUCCUUCCCGCAACAUCCCUGAGUCCAGAGAAGAAAUAAUCCCCUGCCCUGUGGGCCAAGCACUUACAGCAACAGCACUUUGAGUUUGCUGUGCUUAGAUUCACUUGUGGAACUUGUUAAAAAUAUAAAAUUCCAGACCCCA
This 1284-nucleotide long non-coding RNA is filed under the name Homo sapiens (human). Its description in RNAcentral is "long intergenic non-protein coding RNA 2914". The record is from RNAcentral. Lineage: Eukaryota; Metazoa; Chordata; Mammalia; Primates; Hominidae.